Molecule: ribosomal RNA, 112 nt
Filed under: Callithrix jacchus (white-tufted-ear marmoset)
Lineage: Eukaryota; Metazoa; Chordata; Mammalia; Primates; Cebidae
Source: RNAcentral
GUGUACAGCCAUGCCACCCUGAACACGCCCGAUAUUGGAACUAAGCAGGGUCUGGCCUGGUUAGUACUUGGAUGGGAGUAUUCCCAUCUGGGAAUACUGGGUGCUGUAGGCU